RNAcentral lists this ribosomal RNA (292 nucleotides) under uncultured bacterium. RNAcentral describes it as "partial 16S ribosomal RNA". It matches the Rfam family "Bacterial small subunit ribosomal RNA", at positions 505 to 796 of the family's 1533-position model. The record is from RNAcentral.
GUGUCAGCAGCCGCGGUAAGACAGAGGGUGCAAACGUUGUUCGGAAUUACUGGGCAUAAAGAGCACGUAGGUGGUCUGCUAAGUCGUGUGUGAAAUCCCCCGGCUCAACCGGGGAAUUGCGCUCGAUACUGGCAGGCUCGAGGUGGGUAGGGGUGAGCGGAACUCCAGGUGGAGCGGUGAAAUGCGUAGAUAUCUGGAGGAACACCGGUGGCGAAAGCGGCUCACUGGACCCAAUCUGACACUGAGGUGCGAAAGCUAGGGUAGCAAACGGGAUUAGAUACCCCCGUAGUCC